RNAcentral lists this transfer RNA (75 nucleotides) under Acidithiobacillus sulfurivorans. RNAcentral's name for it is "tRNA-Met". It matches the Rfam family "tRNA". From Rfam's summary of the family: Transfer RNA (tRNA) molecules are approximately 80 nucleotides in length. The record is from RNAcentral. Lineage: Bacteria; Pseudomonadati; Pseudomonadota; Acidithiobacillia; Acidithiobacillales; Acidithiobacillaceae.
UGCGGGGUAGUAGAAUGGCGCUACGUGGGCUUCAUACGCCUAAAAGGUCCGGUUCGAUUCCGGCCUCCGCUACCA